AGAGUUGAUCAUGGCUCAGACGAACGCUGGCGGCGUGCCUAACACAUGCAAGUCGAACGGAGCUAAGGAAGCUUGCUUCCGGAGCUUAGUGGCGGACGGGUGAGUAACACGUGAGUAACCUGCCUUUCAGAGGGGAAUAAUGUUUGGAAACGGACACUAAUACCGCAUAAUAUAUUUUAAUCGCAUGAUUGAAAUAUCAAAGGAGCAAUCCGCUGAAAGAUGGACUCGCGUCUGAUUAGCCAGUUGGCGGGUAACGGCCCACCAAAGCGACGAUCAGUAGCCGGACUGAGAGGUUGAACGGCCACAUUGGGACUGAGACACGGCCCAGACUCCGUACGGGAGGCAGCAGUGGGGGAUAUUGCACAAUGGGCGCAAGCCUGAUGCAGCAAACCGCCGCGUGCAGGAAGACGGUCUUCGGAUUGUAAACUGUUGUCCUCUGUGACGAUAAUGACGGUAGCAGAGGAGGAAGCCACGGCUAACUACGUGCCAGCAGCUGC
Molecule: ribosomal RNA, 497 nt
Filed under: uncultured bacterium
Lineage: Bacteria
Description: bacterial SSU rRNA
Rfam family: Bacterial small subunit ribosomal RNA
Source: RNAcentral